RNAcentral lists this unclassified non-coding RNA (527 nucleotides) under Hevea brasiliensis (rubber tree). The record is from RNAcentral. Lineage: Eukaryota; Viridiplantae; Streptophyta; Magnoliopsida; Malpighiales; Euphorbiaceae.
GAGAUGGUGGAUCUACUUUACCAGAACCAGAUCCACCUGAGUUGAGGAAAUACACUUAUGAGGAACUAUCAGAGGCAACACAUCAUUUCUCCAACAAAUAUCGGCUUGGCUCAGGUGGUUUUGGUGAUGUAUUCAGAGGAUCAGUAGAUGGUGAAGUGGUUGCUAUCAAGAAACUUAAAUACAUAAACGAUGAAGGGCCACAAAAUAAAUUAGAUGAGAUUGAGUACCUUAAAAGAGUGAGUCACCCAAAUCUUGUUAAACUGAUUGGUUACUGCUAUGAAGGCGCCAAUAAAUUGCUUGUCUUAGAGUUUGUUCCCAAUAAGACCUUGAGACAUCAUUUAGAUGGAAAAGAGGAUGUUUUAAAGUGGUCAAUAAGAAUGAAAAUCGCCACAAAAUCUGCAUAUGCAUUGCAAUAUUUACAUGAAAAAUGUAAAAUUAUACACCAAGAUAUCAAGACGGAUAAUAUACUGCUUGACUAUGAAUUUGAGCCAAAGGUUGCAGAUUUUUCGCUUGCCAAGUUUUUGCCA